Oryctolagus cuniculus (rabbit) is the source of this 8938-nucleotide non-coding RNA. Lineage: Eukaryota; Metazoa; Chordata; Mammalia; Lagomorpha; Leporidae. The record is from RefSeq and is a predicted model, not a curated record.
GUCCCUCAUAGGCCUGCGCGUGCGCCUGCGCACUCCGGCCGCCGGGGGUGCAGCUAACGUCGUGUAGGAGACAGCCUGGUCUGGGUGAUGAGUAGAACGUGGACGGAGAGAUGGUGGUGCCCUCCAAGCUACGUCACGGAAGUCCUGCAGCCUCUGUCGUGGCCCUGCUCACCUGCUCUGGAGAAACCACGAGGACACUCAGGCGACACUGUGGAGAGACCACGUGUCCGGGAGCCAGAGGCCUCCACCACCGGCCAGCGCUUGUUUUCUAGCCUUCAUGUGUGCAAGUACCACCUGCCAGGCACAGCAGUGAGCACUGCAGGGACAGCAAUGGUGCUGAGCCUGCUCUCAGGGACCUUACCAUCAGGCGGGGGAGACAGACAGGAUACAGCAGUGAGCACAACAGACAUGGAUGCCUCUACUAGAGGAGCUCAGCUUGUGGGGGUGGAAAGCAGACAACGAACACAACAAAUUCACGGUAUUUCCGGAGGUGAUCUGUGCUUCAGAGAGAAAGCACAGCUGUGGAGAAGGUCCAGUGAGAUGCUGCUGCUGACGGUGGAGUGGCGAUGUGGCCCCGGGGCAAAGCGUGUUCCACAGAGAGCUGCACUUGGAGGCAGGAAUCGGACGAGCAUGCAGAUGACCCACCCAAGGUGGCAAAGCUAAGAGUUGUGCCCAAAAGUAUGCAGAGUGGAUGUGAAGGAGGUGAGAAGCAGCCCUGGCUGAUUGUUAGAGAGGGGUGUUGGGGACGGAGACCGAAAGGAAGGUAGAAGUGGAGUCUGCCUUUGGACAUCCUGAGAUUACAAUCUAGCAGGGCGUGGAAAACACGUCAGGAAGCUGUGCACACGUCUGGCUUCCUAUUGAUCUGGGCCAACUGGUUUCUGUCAAGGAGCUCCCAGACUCCAGGGGAGGGCUUUAGCAUCGGACCUGGAAAGGGGGCAGCAAUCCAAUGAAACCAAAUGUCUGGACCUGUGGUCUAAGUCGGGCUCCAGGAAAUGCUGGCUGGCAUCCUUGGCACCAUUCUGGCAGGCUCUUGGAUGCCACCGCUGCUGGUGGCAAAAAAAAAAAAAAAAAAAAGUACAUCUGAAAAUGCCUUGUGCUCCAGUUGCAGUCCUCUGGGAUGGGGCAUUGGUUUCCAGGGUUUAGGGACCAGGACUCUUUUUCUGUUUGUUUUUAAAUUUAUUUAUUUGAAAGGUAGAACAAGAGAGAGAGCUAGUGAGAGAGUGAGCAUGUCCAUCUGCUGGUUCACUUCCUUCAACAGCCUGGGCUGUGAGCCAGGAGCUCCAUCUGGAUCUCCCACAUGGGUGGCAGGGACCCAAAUACUCGAGCCAUCCUCUAUUCCUCCCAGAGGGUGCAUUAGCAGGAAGCCGGCUAGCAAGCAGAGGCAGGACUUGAUUCCAGAUGGUCCUACAGCUUAACCCGCUGUGCCACAACACCUGCUCCAGGACAGGACAUCUGGCCUUGCCAGGUUUUGUACUAGGAAGGAGGUGGAGGGUUUUUUGUUCCCUGCAAGGUUCCCACCAUGGGAGUAGAUUCCCCAAGGUCAACCACUGGGAGCCAGAGGAGACAAAAGAUCUUGUGUGAGUUUGUUACACUUGCUGGGUGGCUUAAAGCAGCAAUGUGUCCUCUCAUAGUCUGGAGUGCUGAAGUCCCAUGGCGUGGGCUCUGAGUCUAAAUCUUCCCUUUCUAUAAGGACAUCAGCCUGGAGAAGUCUCAUAUUAAUGACUUCAUUUAAAAAAUACACAUAUUUAUUUAUUUUGAAAGUCAGAGUUAGAGAAAGCAAGCGAGAGAGAAUGAGAGCGAGAGAGAGAGAGCGAAUCUUUCAUCUUCUCUGAUUUACUCUCCAUAUGGCUGCAAUGACCAGCGCUGGGCCAUGUUGAAGACCGGAACCAGAAGUUUCAUCCAGGUCUCUCACGUGGGUGGCAGGGGCCCAAACAUGUGGGCCGUCUUCCACUGCUUUUCCCAGGCCUUUAGUAGGGAGCUGGAUUGGAAGGGAAGCAGCCAGGACUUGAACCAGCAGCCGUCUAUAUGAGAUGUCGGCAUUGCAAGAGGCCAUUUUACCUGCUUUGCCACAAUAGCAGCCCCCCUAAUAACCUCAUUUAUAAACACUUUUUAAAAAUUUACUUGAGAGGCAAAGAGAGAUACACACACACACAGACACACACACACAGUCACACAGAGAGAUUUCUCAUCUCCUGAUUCACUCUUGCAGUGCCCACAUGGCCUGACCAAGGCUGAGGUCAAAGUCAGGAGCCAGGAACUCCGUCUAGGUCUCCUGUGUGGGAGGCAGGGACCCAAUCACUUGAGCCAUCACCUGCUGCCUCCCAGGGGUUGAAUUAGCAGGAAGCUGGAGUCAGGAGCUGGGGUUGGGUCUUAAACCCAUGUUUGCUGAUACGGGACCCAGGGAGCGUCCUAACUGGUAUCCUAACUAAAUGCCAGGACAAACAUCUGUCCCCGGUAACCAUGUAUUUUACUUGAUUCCCUCUAUAAAGACCCUCAUUCCAAACAAGGUCCCAUUCUGAAACAGUGAGGGUUAGGGCUUUGGCGUGGGUUUUAGGGGCCACCACUCACCCACAACAGCCCCUGCAGUAGCACGUGGGUUUGGCUCUGUUGUGCCAUUGCUUCACUUCUCUUCAAGAGAAGGAUGGUUUUCAUCCUGCUGGUUUUAGAAAGAUAUUUAUAUAAUUGCCAACUUUUAAUUAUGGAAAUUAAAUAAAUCUGCUUUGCCCUUUCCAUCAUUCAUAAAAGUUGGUUCACAAGCUCUGGUUUGCUCUCAAGUCAUUUCUGUUGAUAGACUGUAGGGCCGACGCUCUGCUCACUCAGAGCGUCCCCAGCCAUGGGAUAAAUGUUUUUUCCAUUAUUAACUUUAUUGUUGUGGUACAAGAAUCAGUCAGAAAAGAGAGGCUGCUGGCACUGCUUUCAGAGAGAAGAGACAUGCUCAGCACGGGGGCUGUGGCAGGGGCCAAAUGCCAAUUUGCAGCCCAGUGCUGUCACCCCCAGCCCACCCAGGAUCCAUGUGUUCAUCUGUCGGGCCUCUUCCGCAAAUGUUUGGGGCCUGCCGGGCUUCAGGAAAAGACUCAGAGGUAUCUGAACAUUGUCAGGCCCGAGAUCGGGGGCACCCCCGUUUGGUCUGCUGGGGCAAGUUUUUCCUGCCUUGGCACCUUGUGUCUUUGUUGCCUGCUCUGCUCUCUCAUUGCAUCAUCCUCAAGGAGAGCGUAACCAUGUUGUGCCAAGUCCUAGACACCCUCUUUCCCUACUUCUUUUGUGUUGUGUCACCUCCUAUGUUUUCCUUCUGAGGCCCAGCAGACCAGAAAUAACGGGGUCAUCAGAGGUUGACAGGGCCCCAGGAUCUAGUCUCCUUGUAAAUAGGGUUAGAAAAAGGAGGUUUGGCAAUGAACCCCGCAGACCCCAAAAUAAACCCACACAGAACGAAAGGAAGGAAAGCAGCAACGUGAAAGACGAGAAACCAGACCACCACUUCCGCUGUUCUGUGGCGAGGGGCUUUGGAAACAUGCAGCUGGCCAGCGAAGCCCCCAGGCCCAGGAGAGCAGGCAGGCUGAGUAAACAGGAAGUGCCAGGAAGCUAUUUUUAUUUGGUGCCGUCUUUACUUUCCCUUGUUUCAGUGGAAAAUGAGUCUGGAUUCCACAAAACUCCUUAGUGAACAACAAAUAUAACUGGAGGCGGUGCCAAAGCUGUCAUUCCUCAGCAGUGGUUUGGACGCGUUUCUUCUUUGCCGAGCCCUUGGAAGGCCCAGGGCUCCGCUCGGGCAGGAAACAGGUGGUUUGCUUUAGAGAAGGCCGGUGGAACGGCCAGCGAGCGAGCCCCGGCCCCAGUGACAGCUCUGUCCUCCUGCGCAGGAGCCUGUUUUCCCAUGAACAGCUGAGAAGCGCGCUGGACCCCACCAUAGCUCAGAUAGUGGUCAGCGUCCCAGGCUGUUCCCAUGAGAUCCCCAGGCCAGAAGGGGAAGACGGGCAUCGUGGACCAGGCUCCCUCAAAGGUGCCCACCCUCUUCUUCAAGGCAGAGCCACCGAGCGUCCACUGGGCACCAGAAAUCCUAGCUGGGAUUGAGGGUGGCGAGAGCUUGGGGUGGGGGUGCAUUGCUCAACAGCGCCCCCCUGCACCGCGACCCAGUCCGUUUUCUAAGCGCCUGCUCAGCUGUAUGGCCCCUGAUGAGAAUGGGAGGAUGAAGAGUUUCAAGUGCUCUUUCUGUUCCUUCCAGCCCGGGUGCUUGGGGGGACUGAUCUCUCCAUGUUGAAAACCAUUCCCCUCAUGUCUCCUGCUCCCUCAGCGCCCCUUUCUGCAAUGCCCCUCUCACUCAGCAAUGCCUUAGUUACCAUCAAGUGACUAUGCACUGGGAUUACAACACCUUUAUGUUUAUUUAUUUAUUUGUAUGGCAGAGUUACAUAGAGAGACAGAGAUGUUCCAUCUGCUGGUUUCUUCCUGGUCUCCCACAUGGGUGCAGGGGCCCAAGAAUUUGGACUGUCUUCCACUGCCUUACCAGGUGCACUAGCAGGGAGCUGAAUCAGAAGUGGAGCAGCCGGGACUCGAACCAGCACCCAUUUGGGAUGUUGGCGCCACAGGCAGCUGCUUUACCCACUAUGCCGUAGCACCAGCCCCAUUAACACCUUUAGAAACUAGCGACGUUGUAACGCUCACUGGGAUUAAACCUAGGGGCAGGUGUUGGGCCUAGUGGUUAAGGUGCCUGCAUCCCAUACUGGAGUACCUGGGUCUGAUUCCUGGUUCUGGCUCCUGACUCCAGCAUUCCUGCCAAUUCCCACCCUGGGAGGCAGCUGUGAUGGCUCAAGUUGGGCCCCUGCCAAUUCAUGUGGCAGCCCUGGCCUCAUCCUGGCCAUUGUGGGCAUUUGGGGAAUGAACCAGUGGCUGAAAGCGCUAACUCUGACUCUCUCUCUCUCUCUCCUCCUCUCCCUCCCUCUCUCUCUCCCCGUCUCUCUACCUCCAAACAGACAAACAAAAAUGACUAAGGCACAGAGACUGGUUUUCUUGGGCCCGUCCUCUCCCAUCUCCCUGGUGGAGCCCCCUCAACAGUGAGGACCCCCAUUGAGCAGAUCAGCACUGUAGUUCCACUACUGGACAGAGCAUCCUCCUGGCUCCCAGAGGGGCUCCCCCUUCCCAUCCGUGGUGCCAGCAGCCCCAUGUGACUGUCGUCUGCUGGGAACCCCACAAGCCCUGUGAAAAUCAGGCCUUUUUGCUGCCCAGGAUCAUGAGUCAGCUGCAGGGGUGGGGGACAGCUGAGCAGAGCAGGGUGAACUUCACACGGCUGGUCUCCUGGAGACAGGCCUUGGGUCCUCCACGGCUCUCACACACAGCAGCUCCCUGGGUCACUGCCUCUCAGCACCUUUGCUGCACCAACAGAUUUGGCUCUUGGCUCUUUCACUCUCACGACUUGCUCUCCCCUGUAACUUCCGGUCACUACUCAUCUUGGCCUGCCCACGGCGCUUUGUUGGCCCGUCUCACCUUCAUGCUCUCCAGGGUGCUCCUGGUGUCGGCUCCCACUCCUCACUCCUUGCUCUCUCCAUGCUCCCAGCUCAAGUUCUGGGGGUUGGGACUCUGGUGCCCAGUGUGGCCUUCUGUGGGCACAGCUUUUCUACCUGAGGCCAUCUCCGAGGCCACUGUGCAGCCUGCCACCCACCUACACUUGGCUAUUUCUGGUAGGAUGUGAUGGGCCACAAAUGCAAGGGUAAAAUUCCAUCAUCACUCCUUCACAUUCAUUUUGCCAUCUCAUGUCAAUAGCAAAUGACUAAUGAAGAUACAGGAGGAAAUGUCAUUAAAUUGUGACAGGGUGAUGGGUGUUCAGUGCAGCAGUUACGAUGUCUUUUGAGACACCUACAUUUCAUGUUGGAGUCCUGGGUUCAAGAUCCAACUCUGCUCUUGAUUCCAGCCUCCUGCUAAUUCUCACGCCUGGAGGCAGCAGUGAUGGUUCGAAGUAGUUGGGUCCCUGUCACCUACGUGGGAGACUUAACCUCCAGUUCUAGGCUCCUGGCUUUGACCUGGCCCAACCCUGGCAGGAGCAGGUAUUUGAGGAGUGAGCCAGUGGAGGGAUAGCUCUCUUUGUCUCUCUGUCUCUCUUUCCAUUUAAGCAAGCUUUUAAAAAUUAAAAAAAAAAAAUUCUGAGGUAAGCUUUUGAAGAUAUAUCAGUUAUAUCCUUUUGUCCACCCUGUGUCUCCAGAAACGAGGCUCAUGCCAUCAUAAACUCAUUAACUUCCCAAAUCAAUCCCAAACUCUUGAGUCAGUUCCACAGCCGGUCACUCAAGUCCUUCCCACCUGCAUUUCUGGUCUUGGUGCACUGUCUUCCUCUUCACAUGUCCCACGUUACAGAUGCCACUGGGCUUCCUUCAAGCUACUCAGUGUCUCCUUUGCUCAUGAGGCCUCCUCCAAGGGCCAGAUUCUGAUGUGCUUCAGAGAGCAGCCCAAUCUCUGCAUGUUUCCUAAGGUUGCUGCAACAGAUCACACGCUUGGUGGCUUGGAAUAACAGAAAUGUGCUCCCUCCCAAUUCUGGGAGCCAGAAGUCAGAAAUCAAAGCUGUCUGUGGGCAGCUCUUCCUCUGAGGACUGCAGGGGAGAAGGCUUCCUUUUCUCUCCAGGGUUCUCCUUUACAGAAACUCCUUGGCUUGUGGUUGUGUGACUUCCCAUCCCUGCCUCUGCUUCUGCCUUCACGGGGCUUUCCCUGUGUGUCUGUCUUCUAUUUCUUAGAAAGACACUAAUGGAUUGACAGUCAUCCAAAGUGAUCCAGGCUGAUCCCAUCUCAAGAACCUUAACUCAAUUACUUUUGCAAAGAAAUAAGGUCACCCUCACAAGCUCCAGGGUUUCAGAGGUGAGCAUUUGUUUUGGACCACCAUUCAACACUCCCCAAUCGUUCUGAAGGCUCUGCCCUUAGCCAGUGACCUUUAUCCCCUCUGAGGUCUCUCAAGUCUCUCAGGGCACUUCUGAUAUUUUACUGUGCAGGGUAGUACCUUGGCUCUAGUGGGAGGCACGUAGGUCACAGAGUUAGACAUCCUGGCUUCAAACCCUCGCUCUGCCACCUGCCUGCUGAAUGACAUGGGUCAAGUCGCUCACUUCCUUUUGCCUGGGCCAGGGCACAGUGAGGCACAUCUAGACCACAAGAUUUAAGGAUGCACUUGGCCCUCUCACCAUCCUGAAGUAAGAUUUUCACUGUGCCCUCGGUGUCUUUGAUUUACCCCACCUUAGUUCUUGCCCUACCCCCGUCUUGGUUUCCUAUUCUGUUACAAGUUUUUUUUUUUUAGCCUAAAAGUGACUUUUUAUUUAUUUUUAAAAAUUUAUUUAUUUGGAAGUCAGAGUUACAGAGAGAGAGAGAGAGAGAGAGAGAGAGGUCCUCCAUCCACUGGUUCACUCCCCAACUGGCCACAAUGGCUGGAGCUGCGCCAAUCCAAAGCCAGGGGCCAAGAGCUUCUUCUGGGCAUCCCACAUUGGUCCAGGGGCCCAAGGACUUGGGCCACCUUCUAUUGCUUUCCCAGGCCAUAGCAGAGAGCUGGAUUGGAAGUGGAGACUUGAAUGGGUGCCCAUAUGGGAUGCCAGCGCUGCAGGCAGUGAAUUUACUCGCUAUGCCACAGCACCGGCCCCAUACUUAUGUCUUAUUAUCAAGUUUUUGGGACUUAAAGAUUCAAUAAAUAAUCAAUGACAUUUUUCUGACUAGACAGCAUGUUCCUCUGGAGCUGGCCUUCAUGUGAAAUUCAUUUAUAUAUUCCUAAUAACCUUAAAUUGCCAAAAUUUGGAAGCAUCCAAUAUGUCUUUCAGUAGAUGAAUGGAUAAAUAAACUCACACAUCCAGACAAUGGCAUCUUAUUCAGUACUAAAAAGAAAUGUGUUAUCAAGUCAGAAAAGACAUGGAGGAGUCGCAGAUCCAUAUUACUAAGUCAAUUCGAAAAGGCUGCAAACUGUAUGAUUCCAACAUUCUGGAAAAGAUAAACUACAGAAACAACAAAAAGAUCAGUGGUUGCCAGGGGUUGAGAAGAGGGAAAGAUUGGGAGGCAGACAUAGGAUUUUAGGGCAUUGAACCUGCUCUGUAGCAUACUAUAAUGGUGGAUACAUGUCAUUACACAUUCAUCCAAAACCAUGAAAGGCACACCACCACGUGUGACCCCUACUGUAAAUGGGGGGCACUGGGUGACUAUAAUGCCUCAGGGUAGGUUCAUCCAUGGAAAUAACAUACCCUGUGGUGGGAGGUUGUUGGCCACAGGGAAGCUGGGGCGCAUGGGACAGAAGACAGAUGGGCAAUGUCAGUACCGCCCCCUCCACUUUGCUGGGAACCAAAAACUGCUCUAAAAGAUAAAAUCAGUUUUUCAAAACAGAUUGAACAUAUUACAUUGAAAAUAGCAGGUGACCAAUUACGUUUGAGUAAAUUAAAGAAUAUCUGCUAAGUUUGAGGCAUAUGGAAAUUGGGUUAAUAGUCUAUAAUUAGGUAAACAACCCUGCAUCAAGGCCCUGGAUCAAGAAGUCUUGGGCUGGUUUAUCUUCUUGUUUGUGCAGUGUUUAGAAGGUUUAGGUGAGUGCUUUGGACCGAAGUAGUAGAGUCCAAACCUCAGAAAAUUUCUGAGGUUGGUUUUCAAAUUAGAGCCAUGAAGGAGAGCGUUCUGAAAGUGGGAUGCAUGCACGUGGAAGGACUGGCCCGUGUCUGGAGAGCAGCAGAUGAAAUAUGCAAAGUGGCUUCGGUCCAUGCAUGCUGGUCUCAUCAGAGAUGGAUAGGCUCCUUCCUGGUUACACCCUUGCCAGCUCUCGCGAAAGGAGGCUCUUGCCUGGAACACAGACACUAUCUUGCAUCUUGCCUGGAACUCUGUGAAACUCUGGGUAGCACCUGGUCCAGCUGGGUGCACACCGAAACACCACAUUUAUUUGAUAUUGGGGUUGAUAUUCUUUUUUUACAUAGUGGUUGGGACUCAUUAAGUCUCACUAAGGAGCAACAUUGAA